GGGUAGAGUAUACCAAGGCGAACGGGAGAACCCUCGUUAAGGAAUUAGGCAACAUAGCCCCGUAACUUCGGGAGAAGGGGUGCCUCUUAUUGUGAAUGUAUAAUGAGCAUAAAGAGGUCGCAGUGAAAUGGCUCUAGUGACUGGUUAACAAAACCACAGGUCUCUGCAAAGCCGAAAGGCGAUGUAUAGGGGCUGACACCUGCCCAGUGCCGGAAGGUUAAAGGGAGAGGUUAGCGCAAGCGAAGCUUUGAACUGAAGCCCCGGUGAACGGCGGCCGUAACUAUAACGGUCCUAAGGUAGCGAAAUUCCUUGUCGGGUAAGUUCCGACCCGCACGAACGGCGUAACAACUAGAGCACUGUCUCAACGAGGGACCCGGCGAAAUUGAAAUGGCUGUGAAGAUGCGGCCUACCCGCAGCAGGACAAAAAGACCCCGUGGAGCUUUACUGCAAUUUGGCAUUGAGUUUGGGUAUGGUUUGUGUAGGAUAGGUGGGAGGCUAUGAAGCUGGAGCGCUAGCUUCGGUGGAGCCAACGGUGAAAUACCACCCUGACGAUACUUAGACCCUAACUUUCGACCUUAAUCAGGCGAGAGGACCGUGCCAGAUGGGCAGUUUGACUGGGGCGGUCGCCUCCUAAAAGGUAACGGAGGCGCCCAAAGGUUCCCUCAGGCUGAAUGGAAACCAGCCAGAGAGUGUAAAGGCAUAAGGGAGCUUGACUGCAAGACCAACGCGUCGAGCAGAGACGAAAGUCGGGCUUAGUGAUCCCACGGUACUGAGUGGAAGGGCCGUGGCUUACCGGACAAAAGCUACCCCGGGGAUAACAGGCUGGUGAAGUCCAAGAGUUCAUAUCGACGACUUCGCUCGGCACCUCGAUGUCGGCUCAUCGCAUCCUGGGGCUGUACAAGGUCCCAAGGGUCGGGCUGUUCGCCCGUUAAAGCGGUACGCGAGCUGGGUUCAGACCGUCGUGAGACAGGUCGGUCUCUAUCCGCUGUGGGCGUAAGGGAUUUGAGUGGAGCUGCCCCUAGUACGAGAGGACCGGGGUGGACUGACCGAUGGUGUUCCAGUUGUCGUGCCAACGGCAUUGCUGGGUAGCUAAGUCAGGCAGAGAUAACCGCUGAAUGCAUCUAAGUGGGAAACUCGCCACAAGAUUAGAUCCCUGUGUUUCCGUAAGGAAGUAAGAUCGCAGAUAGACUAUCUGCUUGAUAGGCGGAGUGUGUAAGCACAGCAAUGUGUUUAGCUUAUCCGUACUAAUGAUCGAGGGCUUCUU
Molecule: ribosomal RNA, 1264 nt
Filed under: bioreactor sludge metagenome
Description: bacterial LSU rRNA
Rfam family: Bacterial large subunit ribosomal RNA
Source: RNAcentral